Molecule: ribosomal RNA, 658 nt
Filed under: Clostridium botulinum
Lineage: Bacteria; Bacillati; Bacillota; Clostridia; Eubacteriales; Clostridiaceae
Description: bacterial SSU rRNA
Rfam family: Bacterial small subunit ribosomal RNA
Source: RNAcentral
CUGACGCAGCAACGCCGCGUGGGUGAUGAAGGUCUUCGGAUUGUAAAGCCCUGUUUUCUGGGACGAUAAUGACGGUACUAGAGGAGGAAGCCACGGCUAACUACGUGCCAGCAGCCGCGGUAAUACGUAGGUGGCGAGCGUUGUCCGGAUUUACUGGGCGUAAAGGGUGCGUAGGCGGAUGUUUAAGUGGGAUGUGAAAUCCCCGGGCUUAACCUGGGGGCUGCAUUCCAAACUGGAUAUCUAGAGUGCAGGAGAGGAAAGCGGAAUUCCUAGUGUAGCGGUGAAAUGCGUAGAGAUUAGGAAGAACACCAGUGGCGAAGGCGGCUUUCUGGACUGUAACUGACGCUGAGGCACGAAAGCGUGGGUAGCAAACAGGAUUAGAUACCCUGGUAGUCCACGCCGUAAACGAUGGAUACUAGGUGUAGGGGGUAUCAACUCCCCCUGUGCCGCAGUUAACACAAUAAGUAUCCCGCCUGGGGAGUACGGUCGCAAGAUUAAAACUCAAAGGAAUUGACGGGGGCCCGCACAAGCAGCGGAGCAUGUGGUUUAAUUCGAAGCAACGCGAAGAACCUUACCUGGACUUGACAUCCCUUGCAUAGCCUAGAGAUAGGUGAAGCCCUUCGGGGCAAGGAGACAGGUGGUGCAUGGUUGUCGUCAG